RNAcentral lists this ribosomal RNA (465 nucleotides) under uncultured Klebsiella sp. Its description in RNAcentral is "bacterial SSU rRNA". It matches the Rfam family "Bacterial small subunit ribosomal RNA", at positions 338 to 795 of the family's 1533-position model. The record is from RNAcentral. Lineage: Bacteria; Pseudomonadati; Pseudomonadota; Gammaproteobacteria; Enterobacterales; Enterobacteriaceae.
CCUACGGGUGGCUGCAGUGGGGAAUAUUGCACAAUGGGCGCAAGCCUGAUGCAGCCAUGCCGCGUGUGUGAAGAAGGCCUUCGGGUUGUAAAGCACUUUCAGCGGGGAGGAAGGCGGUGAGGUUAAUAACCUCAUCGAUUGACGUUACCCGCAGAAGAAGCACCGGCUAACUCCGUGCCAGCAGCCGCGGUAAUCCGGAGGGUGCAAGCGUUAAUCGGAAUUACUGGGCGUAAAGCGCACGCAGGCGGUCUGUCAAGUCGGAUGUGAAAUCCCCGGGCUCAACCUGGGAACUGCAUUCGAAACUGGCAGGCUAGAGUCGUGUAGAGGGGGGUAGAAUUCCAGGUGUAGCGGUGAAAUGCGUAGAGAUCUGGAGGAAUACCGGUGGCGAAGGCGGCCCCCUGGACAAAGACUGACACUCAGGUGCGAAAGCGUGGGGAGCAAACAGGAUUAGAUACCCGUGUAGUC